This 433-nucleotide long non-coding RNA is filed under the name Crocodylus porosus (Australian saltwater crocodile). RNAcentral describes it as "lncRNA (ENSCPRG00005009437.1)". Lineage: Eukaryota; Metazoa; Chordata; Crocodylia; Crocodylidae. The record is from RNAcentral.
CUACAGACUUACCUGAAAAAGCUGUGUGGAUGUCUCAAAGCAGCAGCUGGGUGCCAGAUGAUGAGGAUCCUGUAGAGACAGAAUGAGAGAUGCAUCAGAAGCGCCUCUGGGAUGUUACCAGACGUCCUCAGGUAUCAGACUCACCAACUCAGAGUUCUUCCUCAUUACCUUACUUCAGCUUCCCAGGUAUCCCUGCCCCUCGCUCUCCUUGGACUUGUAGCUAAGAUUUUACAAGACCUUUUAUCCUUCAGAUGGAUGCCUUGGAAACAGCUUUGGGGGCAGUGCUGUGUCAAGACAGAGAAGGUGCUGAGAAACUCAUUUCUAAUGCAAGUAGAAUACUGAACACUGCCGAUAAGAGGUAUGCUACUGUAAAAAGGCAAUGCCUAGCGAUCAAGUGGGUGGUGGAGUAUUUUAGAUAUUAUCUAAUAGGAGA